Molecule: ribosomal RNA, 817 nt
Filed under: Sinopoda anguina
Lineage: Eukaryota; Metazoa; Arthropoda; Arachnida; Araneae; Sparassidae
Also listed under: 7 other names
Description: SSU rRNA
Rfam family: Eukaryotic small subunit ribosomal RNA
Source: RNAcentral
UCCAUUAAUCAAGAACGAAAGUUAGAGGUUCGAAGGCGAUCAGAUACCGCCCUAGUUCUAACCAUAAACGAUGCCAGCCAGCGAUCCGGCUGUGUUCCUCAAAUGACACGCCGGGCAGCUUCCGGGAAACCAAAGCUUUUGGGUUCCGGGGGAAGUAUGGUUGCAAAGCUGAAACUUAAAGGAAUUGACGGAAGGGCACCACCAGGAAUGGAGCCUGCGGCUUAAUUUGACUCAACACGGGAAAACUUACCCGGCCCGGACACAGGAAGGAUUGACAGAUUAAGAGCUCUUUCUUGAUUCUGUGGGUGGUGGUGCAUGGCCGUUCUUAGUUGGUGGAGCGAUUUGUCUGGUUAAUUCCGAUAACGAACGAGACUCUAGCCUACUAAAUAGACGUUCCGAUCAUCUCCGUCGGACGUUCUUCUUAGAGGGACAAGCGGCGUUUAGCCGCACGAGACAGAGCAAUAACAGGUCUGUGAUGCCCUUAGAUGUCCGGGGCCGCACGCGCGCUACAUUGAAGGAAUCAGCGUGUGCUUUCCCUGUCCGACAGGACUGGGUAACCCGUUGAACCUCCUUCGUGCUGGGGAUAGGGGCUUGUAAUUGUUCCCCUUGAACGAGGAAUUCCCAGUAAGCACGAGUCAUAAGCUCGUGUUGAUUACGUCCCUGCCCUUUGUACACACCGCCCGUCGCUACUACCGAUUGAAUGAUUUAGUGAGGUCUUCGGACUGGCGCUCGGAGCGGCCCUCGGGUCGCGCCGGCGUGCCGGAAAGAUGACCAAACUUGAUCAUUUAGAGGAAGUAAAAGUCGUAACAAGGUUUCC